This 564-nucleotide ribosomal RNA is filed under the name uncultured bacterium. RNAcentral describes it as "bacterial SSU rRNA". It matches the Rfam family "Bacterial small subunit ribosomal RNA", at positions 362 to 917 of the family's 1533-position model. The record is from RNAcentral.
UUUUGGACAUGGGGGCAACCCUGNUCCAGCCAUGCCGCGUGAGUGAAGAAGGCCUUCGGGUUGUAAAGCUCUUUCGGACGGAACGAAAUGGUUACGGUGAAUAUCCGUGACUGAUGACGGUACCGUAAUAAGAAGCACCGGCUAACUACGUGCCAGCAGCCGCGGUAAUACUGUAGGGUGCGAGCGUUAAUCGGAAUUACUGGGCGUAAAGCGUGCGCAGGCGGUUCGCCAAGUCAGGUGUGAAAUCCCCGGGCUUAACCUGGGAAUUGCGCUUGAAACUAGCGGGCUUGAGUGUGGCAGAGGGGGGUGGAAUUCCACGUGUAGCAGUGAAAUGCGUAGAGAUGUGGAGGAACACCGAUGGCGAAGGCAGCCCCCUGGGUCAACACUGACGCUCAUGCACGAAAGCGUGGGGAGCAAACAGGAUUAGAUACCCUGGUAGUCCACGCCCUAAACGAUGUCGACUAGGUGUUGGGGAGGGAGACUUCCUUAGUACCGCAGCUAACGCGUGAAGUCGACCGCCUGGGGAGUACGGUCGCAAGAUUAAAACUCAAAGAAAUUGACGGA